GUCUUCGUUUUUUUUUUUUUGUCUCUUUUUUUGGUUUUGUAGUUUUAAUUCGAGCUUCUUGAUCGAUAUUUCCUUCAAAUUAUUGGGUAAAUAUUGCGCUUUCAUUCUGUAAGUGGUCAAAAAAUGGUAAUGUAUUGAUUCAAAUGCGAAAUGUAUCUCCUCUGUUCGUAGCACGUAUUAAUCGCUAAAAAUAAAGUCAUAAAUUGCGCUCUCUGCUAUUUACGCUUAACAGCAACGUCAUAAAAAUCACAUCCCCUUUAUUGCUGGCCUGGUAUGCCCCUUAUAAUGAACUUUUCAUAAUGGAUGGUUCGAGUUCACAAGACGUAAAUGCCUUGCAUCCUUAUCUUUCCCCGAAA
Molecule: long non-coding RNA, 356 nt
Filed under: Coffea arabica (coffee)
Lineage: Eukaryota; Viridiplantae; Streptophyta; Magnoliopsida; Gentianales; Rubiaceae
Description: long non-coding RNA (CARA_LNC004885)
Source: RNAcentral